AUACUUACCUGGCAGGGGAGAUAUGAUCAUGAAAGGGGUUGUGGUUUUUAUUUUCAGCAGGAAAGGUUAUCCAUUGCACUCUGAUAUGCUGGCCCUUUGUAGCUUUCCCAAAUGUGGGAACCUCAACUACAUCACUUGUGGGAGUGGGGAGACUGUGUUUCUGCUCUCCCCUA
Small nuclear RNA from Mus spicilegus (steppe mouse), 173 nucleotides. Its record names the gene U1. It matches the Rfam family "U1 spliceosomal RNA". Rfam says of the family: U1 is a small nuclear RNA (snRNA) component of the spliceosome (involved in pre-mRNA splicing). Its 5' end forms complementary base pairs with the 5' splice junction, thus defining the 5' donor site of an intron. Lineage: Eukaryota; Metazoa; Chordata; Mammalia; Rodentia; Muridae. The record is from Ensembl.